This 762-nucleotide ribosomal RNA is filed under the name Staphylococcus aureus. RNAcentral's name for it is "bacterial SSU rRNA". It matches the Rfam family "Bacterial small subunit ribosomal RNA", at positions 28 to 776 of the family's 1533-position model. The record is from RNAcentral. Lineage: Bacteria; Bacillati; Bacillota; Bacilli; Caryophanales; Staphylococcaceae.
GAUGAACGCUGGCGGCGUGCCUAAUACAUGCAAGUCGAGCGAACGGACGAGAAGCUUGCUUCUCUGAUGUUAGCGGCGGACGGGUGAGUAACACGUGGAUAACCUACCUAUAAGACUGGGAUAACUUCGGGAAACCGGAGCUAAUACCGGAUAAUAUUUUGAACCGCAUGGUUCAAAAGUGAAAGACGGUCUUGCUGUCACUUAUAGAUGGAUCCGCGCUGCAUUAGCUAGUUGGUAAGGUAACGGCUACCAAGGCAACGAUGCAUAGCCGACCUGAGAGGGUGAUCGGCACACUGGAACUGAGACACGGUCCAGACUCCUACGGAAGGCAGCAGUAGGGAAUCUUCCGCAAUGGGCGAAAGCCUGACGGAGCAACGCCGCUGAGUGAUGAAGGUCUUCGGAUCGUAAAACUCUGUUAUUAGGGAAGAACAUAUGUGUAAGUAACUGUGCACAUCUUGACGGUACCUAAUCAGAAAGCCACGGCUAACUACGUGCCAGCAGCCGCGGUAAUACGUAGGUGGCAAGCGUUAUCCGGAAUUAUUGGGGUAAAGCGCGCGUAGGCGGUUUUUUAAGUCUGAUGUGAAAGCCCACGGCUCAACCGUGGAGGGUCAUUGGAGACUGGAAAACUUGAGUGCAGAAGAGGAAAGUGGAAUUCCAUGUGUAGCGGUGAAAUGCGCAGAGAUAUGGAGGAACACCAGUGGCGAAGGCGACUUUCUGGUCUGUAACUGACGCUGAUGUGCGAAAGCGUGGGGAUCAAACAGG